RNAcentral lists this transfer RNA (75 nucleotides) under Deltaproteobacteria bacterium. Its description in RNAcentral is "tRNA-Gly". It matches the Rfam family "tRNA". From Rfam's summary of the family: Transfer RNA (tRNA) molecules are approximately 80 nucleotides in length. Their secondary structure includes four short double-helical elements and three loops (D, anti-codon, and T loops). The record is from RNAcentral. Lineage: Bacteria; Pseudomonadati; Myxococcota; Myxococcia.
GCGGGAUUAACUCAGCGGUAGAGUGUCAGCUUCCCAAGCUGAAGGUCGCCGGUUCGAACCCGGUAUCCCGCUCCG